CAAAUAUCGAAAUCUUUUGAAAUUUGAAACAAACCCCUUUUGUAUUGAUGAUAAGCAAGGGUUUCUUAAUCCACACACAAAGUUUAAGGCUGGGUUUAUUUUUGAACCAGUAUUGAGUGGUCGGAAAUUACAGAGACGGACUCUUAAGUCCUAAAGGGGGUUCAUUCUCAAUGGUUUUAGACCCAAUUCUCAACGGUGAAAAUAUGUGAUUCUGACUAACAUUUUUUAUCGGAUUCGUAUUUGCUCAUUUUUUAUCCAUUUGGC
This is a non-coding RNA of Paramuricea clavata, 264 nucleotides long. The record is from the annotation of a GenBank genome assembly. Lineage: Eukaryota; Metazoa; Cnidaria; Anthozoa; Malacalcyonacea; Plexauridae.